Molecule: ribosomal RNA, 255 nt
Filed under: Klebsiella aerogenes
Lineage: Bacteria; Pseudomonadati; Pseudomonadota; Gammaproteobacteria; Enterobacterales; Enterobacteriaceae
Description: partial 23S ribosomal RNA
Rfam family: Bacterial large subunit ribosomal RNA
Source: RNAcentral
CAUGUAGGCGGAGGUUCCAGGUAAAUCCGGUACCUUUUUAACGCUGAGGUGUGAUGACGAGGCACUACGGUGCUGAAGUAACAAAUGCCCUGCUUCCAGGAAAAGCCUCUAAGCAUCAGGUAACAUUGAAUCGUACCCCAAACCGACACAGGUGGUCAGGUAGAGAAUACCAAGGCGCUUGAGAGAACUCGGGUGAAGGAACUAGGCAAAAUGGUGCCGUAACUUCGGGAGAAGGCACGCUGAUAUGUAGGUGAA